This 393-nucleotide ribosomal RNA is filed under the name uncultured bacterium. Its description in RNAcentral is "bacterial SSU rRNA". It matches the Rfam family "Bacterial small subunit ribosomal RNA", at positions 30 to 417 of the family's 1533-position model. The record is from RNAcentral.
AGUGAACGCUGGCGGCAGGCCUAAUACAUGCAAGUCGAACGGCAGCACAGCAGAGCUUGCUCUGUGGGUGGCGAGUGGCGGACGGGUGAGGAAUACGUGGGAAUCUGCCCAGUCGUGGGGGAUAACGUAGGGAAACUUACGCUAAUACCGCAUGCGCCCUUCGGGGAAAGCCGGGGACCUUCGGGCCUGGCGCGAUUGGAUGAGCCCACGUCGGAUUAGCUAGUUGGCGGGGUAAAGGCCCACCAAGGCGACGAUCCGUAGCUGGUCUGAGAGGAUGAUCAGCCACACUGGAACUGAGACACGGUCCAGACUCCUACGGGAGGCAGCAGUAGGGAAUAUUGGACAAUGGGCGCAAAGCCUGAUCCAGCCAUGCCGCGUGAGUGAAGAAGGCCC